This 64-nucleotide transfer RNA is filed under the name Caryophyllaeus laticeps. RNAcentral describes it as "tRNA-Ile". Lineage: Eukaryota; Metazoa; Platyhelminthes; Cestoda; Caryophyllidea; Caryophyllaeidae. The record is from RNAcentral.
CCAAUAGGGCUGCUAUUGCAGGCUACUUUGAUGUAGUAGAAUUAAAAUUUUAAAUUUCGUUGGU